RNAcentral lists this ribosomal RNA (254 nucleotides) under uncultured bacterium. Its description in RNAcentral is "partial 16S ribosomal RNA". It matches the Rfam family "Bacterial small subunit ribosomal RNA", at positions 524 to 776 of the family's 1533-position model. The record is from RNAcentral.
UACGUAGGUGGCAAGCGUUGUCCGGAUUUACUGGGCGUAAAGAGCGCGCCGGCGGUUGUUUAAGUCGGAUGUGAAAGCCCCCGGCUCAACUGGGGAGGGUCAUUCGAUACUGAUCGACUUGAAGGCAGGAGAGGGAAGUGGAAUUCCGGGUGUAGUGGUGAAAUGCGUAGAUAUCCGGAGGAACACCGGUGGGGAAGACGGUCUCCGGGGCCGAGGGCCGACGCUGAGGCGCGAGAGCGUGGGGAGCGAACCGG